UUUUAACAAUGGCUCCAUUCGUCAACAUAGCUGAAAUUGUACCAUUACAAAUGAUGGCCUUUGGACCCUGGAAAAUUGUUAGACCUCAAAAGUCUAACAAUUAACAAUGCACCACACACUUCUAGGUCAAUAUCACCUUAAACUGGAGCCAGUGAACAUUUUGGUGGUAGUCUAGGAUGACUGGAAUUAGGACCGUAAAAAGUGGCGGUGAGCGCGGAGAGAACGCCACGAAGGCCUCGGGCACACUACGAGAGUACAAGGUGGUGGGUCUCUGCCUGCCCACCCCCAAAUGCCACACACCGCCCCUCUACCGCCGGCGAAUCUUUGCGCCUGAUCACGUCGUCGCCAAGUCCCGCUUCUGGUACUUCGUAUCUCAGUUAAAGAUGAAGAAGUCUGCUGGGGGCAGGUGUUUGAGAAGUCCCCCCGCCCCUGCGGGUUAGGAACUUCGGCAUCUGGCUGCGCCAUGACUCCAGGAGUGGCACCAAUAUGUACCGGGAAUACCGGGCGCUGUCACCCAGUGCUACCGACACAUGGGCGCCCGGGCCCACUCCACCCAGAUCAUGAAAGUGGAGGAGAUCGCAGCCAGCAAGUGCCACCGGCCUGCUGUCAAGCAGUUCCACGACUCCGGGAUCAAGUUCCCGCUGUGCCACCGCGUCCUGCGCAGUCCAUACAAACUACCCGUCACCACAAGCUACGUGUCACCACCAAGAGGCCCAACACCUUCUAG
Molecule: non-coding RNA, 727 nt
Organism: Callithrix jacchus (white-tufted-ear marmoset)
Lineage: Eukaryota; Metazoa; Chordata; Mammalia; Primates; Cebidae
Source: RefSeq, a predicted model, not a curated record